This 238-nucleotide ribosomal RNA is filed under the name uncultured bacterium. RNAcentral's name for it is "partial 16S ribosomal RNA". It matches the Rfam family "Bacterial small subunit ribosomal RNA", at positions 15 to 236 of the family's 1533-position model. The record is from RNAcentral.
GAUCCGGCUCAGGAUGAACGCUGGCGGCGUGCUUAACACAUGCAAGUCGAGCGAAGCACUUAAGUUUGAUUCUUCGGAUGAAGACUUUUGUGACUGAGCGGCGGACGGGUGAGUAACGCGUGGGUAACCUGCCUCAUACAGGGGGAUAACAGUUAGAAAUGGCUGCUAAUACCGCAUAAGACCACAGUACUGCAUGGUACAGUGGUAAAAACUCCGGUGGUAUGAGAUGGACCCGCGU